CUCAAAUUCCUGGCACCACGGAACCUAUAUAAGAGAUUGAGAUGGAAGAGUGGAUUGUAAUGGGCUUUCAUCUUUUACUCUUUGUAUGCAAACAUUUCGCUGGGUUUCUUGGAUCCAGAUUGCCUUUUUCCGCGGUUUUCCUCUUGUUUUUAUAGGGAUUUUGAUGGAUAUCCGACGGAAAAAGCGAUUGGUUUUGGAAAAGGAGAUGUUUCAAUUAAAAGAUGAUGAUAGAUAUGAAUUUCGAUCUUGACGGGAGAGUUAACUAUGGGUUUUUAUUAGCUUCGAAACUUUAUAUAUAAAUUCUUCAUGGGUUUUUUCGUAUCCGGAUUGCUUUUCUCCGUUGUGUUAUUCUUUUCUUGAUGUGGAUUUCGAUGCAUGCGGAGUUUAAAAAAGAAAAAGACCGGUUCCGGAAAAAGAUUGGAUCUUUCAUAAAUGAUGAAUGUUAAUUGGAUCCUUUCCCUUCUUCCCAUCUUUAAUUGGUUUUGAUGGCUUCUUCCUCUGUUUUCUUGAUAUAGAUUGAUAGUUAGGAUUCAAGUUUGUUCCUUAUUUUAUGAAAAAUAAGAGUGAACGAUUGGAUUUGGAUUUACUUAGUACUUUUUUCUUCUUAUGUCUUAGAUCUUGAAUUGGAAUUUGCUCUUCGUCUAUACAUAGAAGUUUAAUCAGCG
This 665-nucleotide long non-coding RNA is filed under the name Elaeis guineensis (African oil palm). RNAcentral's name for it is "long non-coding RNA (EGUI_LNC008260)". The record is from RNAcentral. Lineage: Eukaryota; Viridiplantae; Streptophyta; Magnoliopsida; Arecales; Arecaceae.